UUUUGUUUUGGUCUACACAGUGUUUUCCGCCACAGAUCCGAAGAGGAAUGCCAGAGACUCCCAUGUGCCGGUUUUGGCUCCACUCCCAAUUGGAUUUGCUGUAUUCAUGGUUCACUUGGCCACCAUUCCAAUCACUGGAACCGGCAUCAACCCAGCCAGGAGUCUAGGAGCUGCUGUUAUCUACAACCAGGACAAGGCCUGGGAUGACCAAGUCAGUACACACACACACAUAUCAUUAAAUAAAUUAAUUAUACUUAAUUAAUUUUGCAAAGGGUACUUAAUUUUCUUGUUAAAUUAUUAUUAAUUUAUUUUUUUUAUUGCAGUGGAUCUUUUGGGUUGGACCCUUUGCUGGUGCAGCCAUUGCAGCAUUCUAUCAUCAGUUCAUCUUGAGGGCUGGUGCUGUGAAGGCUCUUGGGUCAUUCAGGAGCAACCCCAGUACUGUUUAAGAAAAAUCCUUUAUCAAAAAAAGAAAUAAUAAUGAAGGAAGAGAGAGCAUAUGCAUGCAGCUGGUUGGCUGGUUUCUUUGUAGUGGUGGGUUAAAAAUCGAUGAAUGUGAAAGAGAGAGAAUGAAAGGAUUAUGUAAUUUGUAGAUAUAAAAGUCUCUUUCAAAAGGGAGGCUUUUAUUAUUUUUACUGUUAUGUGGCAAUGAUAUGAUGGUUUUCUAGUUAGUUUCACCCUCUUUUGUCUACUUUUCUUCUAUGCACUUAUCAUGCUUGUGAGAAAAGUUAAGCUAUUUGGUCAAGUCUUUUGUUGCUUCUGUCAAAAGUUUAGGUUGUGAGUGUAUUAUUAUGAGCUUUUUUUGUUUUUUUUCAGUAUCAAAUAUUCAUUUCUUGUUAAUGAAGCAUCACAAAAAUAACAAUAAUUACAAAU
This 870-nucleotide unclassified non-coding RNA is filed under the name Hevea brasiliensis (rubber tree). The record is from RNAcentral. Lineage: Eukaryota; Viridiplantae; Streptophyta; Magnoliopsida; Malpighiales; Euphorbiaceae.